This 21-nucleotide microRNA is filed under the name Columba livia (rock pigeon). RNAcentral's name for it is "cli-miR-449d-3p". Its record names the gene cli-miR-449d-3p. Lineage: Eukaryota; Metazoa; Chordata; Aves; Columbiformes; Columbidae. The record is from miRBase by way of RNAcentral.
GCAACUGACUACACUGCCACA